RNAcentral lists this long non-coding RNA (727 nucleotides) under Canis lupus familiaris (dog). RNAcentral's name for it is "lncRNA (ENSCAFG00000055403.1, ENSCAFG00805007508.1, ENSCAFG00845003649.1)". Lineage: Eukaryota; Metazoa; Chordata; Mammalia; Carnivora; Canidae. The record is from RNAcentral.
GGUUUUCCUAAGGACUUUCCCUCUGAGUUCUCCUGCCGUUUUACUCAUUCCACUCGGCACUGUGUUUCAGAAACUGCAAUUAUCAACAGGUUGUAAAAGCUAAGGAAGCAAUUUGAAGCUGGAAAUAUUUUGGAAGUACCCUACUGAGGUCUCAUCCAUCUUUGGAGUCAUCCAUACCCCAUUUCUCUGUUCUUAUCUUUCUUUUAGCCUCGUUCUAUCCCUAGGGUGAUCCCUCCUCCCCUAGGCAGAACCAGUUAGUGAUUGGCACAUUACAGUCCUCAUUAGAGGUGAACCCAUUUCUGAGAAUGUUGAGGAAGAGGGAAAAUUGGAUCAUAAGGAGUCCACAAGAAGACUCUGUAAUGUGUCUGAGGCUCUCAUGCAUCCGCCCUCCGUAAGUGCACCGGGACUGAUGUCACUUUUGAGUGCUCUGCACAUACCUGGGAAAGAAUAAAUUUUGUACUUCUCUGAAAAGCCACUUCACAGACCUGCUUGAUCCUCUUUCCAGCUUCCUAGGAGCUGGGUCAGGAUUAUCAGGCUCCUUUUGUUUUAUUUUAUCCAAGAUUUGAUUAUUUAUUUGAGAGAGACAGCAUGGUGGAAGGGGCAGAGGGAGAGGGAGAGAGGAUUCUCAAGUGGACUACCCACUGAGCAGGGAGCCCAACAUGGGGCUCCAUCCUGGGACCCUGAGAUCAUGAUCUGAGCCAAAAUCAAGAGUCAGAUGCUUAACCAA